Nanorana parkeri is the source of this 131-nucleotide long non-coding RNA. RefSeq lists it as uncharacterized. Lineage: Eukaryota; Metazoa; Chordata; Amphibia; Anura; Dicroglossidae. The transcript is spliced from 3 exons. The record is from RefSeq and is a predicted model, not a curated record.
GUAGGCAACCUGAGCACGCCAGGUGUUGUGGAACUACAAGUCCCAUAAAGCAUUGCAAGACAGUGGCAGCCAUGGGCAUGACUCCUAGAAGCAGAAGCAUUAUGGGAUUUGUAGUUUUGUCACAGCUGACG